This 236-nucleotide long non-coding RNA is filed under the name Dromaius novaehollandiae (emu). RNAcentral describes it as "lncRNA (ENSDNVG00000006785.1)". Lineage: Eukaryota; Metazoa; Chordata; Aves; Casuariiformes; Dromaiidae. The record is from RNAcentral.
CUUACUGUCCCUCCAUGUCAGCAUCAACUGGUCAUGGCUUGUGGAGCACUGGCUGUCCCCAGUUUCAGCUGCUGGGAGGAUGCCUGGCUUAUGUGCUCCUACCAGUCCUUGGUUGUGCCUCCUGAAACAGCACUGGACUAUCUUCGAACACUGGCAACUCACUUGUGCAACAAAGGUUGUUGUGAUGGAGACUUGUGGCUGGAGGAAGAUGCCAAAGGGGGGAAGAGAGGUAGAGG